GGGGGUAUAGCUCAAGUGGUAGAGUGCAUGCUUAGCAUGCACAAGGUCCUGAGUUCAAUUCCCAGUACCUCUA
RNAcentral lists this transfer RNA (73 nucleotides) under Camelus bactrianus (Bactrian camel). It matches the Rfam family "tRNA". Rfam says of the family: Transfer RNA (tRNA) molecules are approximately 80 nucleotides in length. The record is from Rfam by way of RNAcentral. Lineage: Eukaryota; Metazoa; Chordata; Mammalia; Artiodactyla; Camelidae. RNAcentral also lists the same sequence under 3 other names.